CUCUUAUGUUGUCUUGGUUGUGUGCUUAGUGCAUUGUACUGUUGAAAGGUGAACCAUCAGCCCCAUCUAAGGUCCUUCACACUCUGGACCACGUUUUCAGUAUGGAAAUCUCCAUAUUUUGUUCCUCAAACAUGACCAUCCUCCCAGUCUUUGCUGCUGAAAAAAUCCUGCCAAAGCAUGAUGAUGAGCGGUGCCUGUUUCUUCUAGACAUGAUGCUUUAAAUUGAUGCCAAACACUCUUAAUUUCAUCAGACCAGAG
Pelobates cultripes (western spadefoot toad) is the source of this 258-nucleotide non-coding RNA. Lineage: Eukaryota; Metazoa; Chordata; Amphibia; Anura; Pelobatidae. The record is from the annotation of a GenBank genome assembly.